GACGAACGCUGGCGGCGUGCUUAACACAUGCAAGUCGAACGGAAAGGCCUGUCCUUCCUUGUGUUGGACGGGUACUCGAGUGGCGAACGGGUGAGUAACACGUGAGUGAUCUGCCCCCAACUUGGGUAUAAGCCUGGGAAACUGGGUCUAAUUCCCGAUAGGACUGCAGGGUGGUGCCUGUGGUGGAAAACGAUUUUCUAGUGGUUGGGGAUGAGCUCGCGGCCUAUCAGCUUGUUGGUGGGGUAAUGGCCUACCAAGGCGGCGACGGGUAGCCGGCCUGAGAGGGUGGACGGCCACAUUGGGACUGAGAGACGGCCCAGACUCCUACGGGAGGCAGCAGUGGGGAAUAUUGCAGAAUGGGCGGAAGCCUGAUGCAGCGACGCCGCGUGGGGGAUGACGGCCUUCGGGUUGUAAACUCCUUUCGACCGCGAGGAAGCCGCCUGGUUGGAAGGGUGGUGACGGUAGUGGUAGAAGAAGCACCGGCUAACUACGUG
RNAcentral lists this ribosomal RNA (494 nucleotides) under uncultured bacterium. RNAcentral's name for it is "partial 16S ribosomal RNA". It matches the Rfam family "Bacterial small subunit ribosomal RNA", at positions 28 to 507 of the family's 1533-position model. The record is from RNAcentral.